AGAACUUUUUUCAGCGUAAUUUGGACAAGACAUACUAAAGUCCAAAGUACACAAAUGAGAAGCAAUAAGAAGUAUAUAACUAGUAAACCAGCUCUCAAUUAAUUUAUAUUUUCUGCUACAUCUUUAUGGUGAAACUCGACUGUGUGUUAAUGGUCCUCAGAAGAUUCUAGACAACACUGAUGCUCUACUUAUUAUUAAAGGUAAAACUCACCCUAUUGAAGAGGACAAGCUUAAGAUCUAUGCACUGACUUAGUACCACUUAUCCCAAUUUUCACUUAACAAGGGCGCUUAUGCAAGACUCCUCCAGAAAGUGCCAAGUUUCUGCCAAGGGAGGCAGUGAGAGCUCCAGGAUCCCUUCACAGCCAAAGCCAACGUGCGACAAGGGCAAUCCCCUCCAGGAGUUCCAUCUAGUGAGAUCAGACCAAUUCUAUCUCCGUGCAAGCCUGAGGAUCGUGGAUGAAAGGAGCUGUGACUGAGUGCAAAGGCCUGGAAUGGAGCUGCAAGCCUGCACAGAAACUGAGCUAUUCCUCUGGAAAAGCUGAACUUCCACAUGUGCAGGU
Molecule: long non-coding RNA, 560 nt
Organism: Pezoporus flaviventris
Lineage: Eukaryota; Metazoa; Chordata; Aves; Psittaciformes; Psittacidae
Exons: 3
Source: RefSeq, a predicted model, not a curated record